RNAcentral lists this non-coding RNA (226 nucleotides) under Sphingobacteriales bacterium. The record is from RNAcentral. Lineage: Bacteria; Pseudomonadati; Bacteroidota; Sphingobacteriia; Sphingobacteriales.
UACAUUUGCAGCCAACCAGGUUCCCCCCAGUGGGGAUUAAAAGGGAAGUCCGGUGCAAAUCCGGCGCUAUCCCCGUAGCUGUAAGGAUGGAGUAUACGAUAAUCGUAUACCUAACGGUUGCUAAAAUGCUACCAUUGUUGCAAACAGCCACUGCUCCGACAUACCGGAUCGGGAAGGCGGCAACAAUCAUCCAAGCCAGAAGACCUGCCCGGUUGAUUGAAACCAC